AUUGAACGCUGGCGGCAGGCCUAACACAUGCAAGUCGAGCGGAUGAAGGGAGCUUGCUCCUGGAUUCAGCGGCGGACGGGUGAGUAAUGCCUAGGAAUCUGCCUGGUAGUGGGGGAUAACGUCCGGAAACGGGCGCUAAUACCGCAUACGUCCUGAGGGAGAAAGUGGGGGAUCUUCGGACCUCACGCUAUCAGAUGAGCCUAGGUCGGAUUAGCUAGUUGGUGGGGUAAAGGCCUACCAAGGCGACGAUCCGUAACUGGUCUGAGAGGAUGAUCAGUCACAGUGGAACUGAGACACGGCCCAGACUCCUACGGGAGGCAGCGGGGGGGAAUUUGGGACAAUGGGAGAAAGCCUGAACCAGCAAUGCCGCGUGGGGGAAGAAGGUAUUCGGAUUGUAAAACUCUUUAAGUGGGGAGGAAGGGAAGUAAGUUAAUCCGUUCUUGUUUUGACGUUACCAAAAGAAAAAGCCCCGGCUAACUUCGUG
RNAcentral lists this ribosomal RNA (484 nucleotides) under uncultured bacterium. Its description in RNAcentral is "partial 16S ribosomal RNA". It matches the Rfam family "Bacterial small subunit ribosomal RNA", at positions 30 to 507 of the family's 1533-position model. The record is from RNAcentral.